ACGGAAGGCAGCAGUGGGGGAUAUUGCACAAUGGGCGAAAGCCUGAUGCAGCGACGCCGCGUGAGGGAAGACGGUUUUCGGAUUGUAAACCUCUGUCUUCGGGGACGAAAAAGGACGGUACCCGAGGAGGAAGCCACGGCUAACUACGUGCCAGCAGCCGCGGUAAUACGUAGGUGGCAAGCGUUGUCCGGAAUUACUGGGUGUAAAGGGAGUGUAGGCGGGACUGUAAGUCAGAUGUGAAAUAUGCCGGCUCAACUGGCAGACUGCAUUUGAAACUGCGGUUCUUGAGUGAAGUAGAGGUAAGCGGAAUUCCUAGUGUAGCGGUGAAAUGCGUAGAUAUUAGGAGGAACAUCAGUGGCGAAGGCGGCUUACUGGGCUUUAACUGACGCUGAGGCUCGAAAGCGUGGGGAGCAAACAGGAUUAGAUACCCUGGUA
RNAcentral lists this ribosomal RNA (435 nucleotides) under uncultured Ruminococcus sp. Its description in RNAcentral is "bacterial SSU rRNA". It matches the Rfam family "Bacterial small subunit ribosomal RNA", at positions 341 to 792 of the family's 1533-position model. Lineage: Bacteria; Bacillati; Bacillota; Clostridia; Eubacteriales; Oscillospiraceae. The record is from RNAcentral.